This is a long non-coding RNA of Solanum tuberosum (potato), 2018 nucleotides long. RefSeq lists it as uncharacterized. NCBI's taxonomy places the organism in Eukaryota, Viridiplantae, Streptophyta, Magnoliopsida, Solanales, Solanaceae. The transcript has 3 exons. The record is from RefSeq and is a predicted model, not a curated record.
ACAACCUUACAUUUGUUGAUUGUAACAAUUGGUGCUUUAAUGCAGAGGAUUCGAUCAAUGACCCAUACAAUUAAUUAGAAUGACAGAGAAGAUUCAAAGGUGCUGCGAGGUUUGUCCCAAUCUAUCCUUUGACGAUGGUGGUGAUGGGUUUUUCUAUUGCACUGGUUGCGGCUCUCAAGCAAAUGACAUCAUUGACACGGGUGUCAUUGCCAUAAUGGAGAUGAUGGAGUUGGGCCUGCAGUGAUUAGUAAUUUUGGAUCAUCUCAAAUUUCUUUGACUUACAGAGACUAUUAUUCAGAGAUCCGGUUGAGGUAUGUUAUGGGGUUACAAGCUAUGAUCCAAAUGCGCGCAGUGCAAGACUCUGGUGGAGAAAUUUAACGUAAGCCCGCUGAUUGUUGGGCUUGCUGGACCUAUUUGGUUAAGACUCUUGGCACAUGAAAACGGGCAGACAAUGUCAUCCAUGAAUCAGAGUCUCAAAUUCAAGGGGAAAUAGAACUUUCUCAGCCAACUGGCAGCCAGAAAACAGAACCUCACAAUUUACUUGGAAAGAGGGCAGUAACCAUAUGGCAUAAAUCUUUGAGCAGCAUGGUUCCAUUACCUUGUUCUCUGGCUAUCUCUUUUCUUGUCUGUCACGUGGCAAGGGAAUCAAUCUUGCCAACAGACAUAUUGAAGUGGACCUUAGAAGGAAAGCUCCCAUAUUUCGCUGCUUUUCUUGAAAUAGAGAAGCAGUUGGGACCUCCUUCAAGGUCCUGCCCUAUCAGUACCAUUUGUAUGUUAAGGCCUAUCAGAACUGUCACCUUACAAAAGUUAGAGUUCCUUGCUGCCUCAAUCGCCAGGAAAAUAGGCUUGGAAUUGCCUUCAGUGAACUUCCAUGCUAUAGCUGCCCGUUAUCUCAAGCAUUUAUCGCUUCCUGUUGAGAAAAUUCUUCCUCAGGCAUGUCAAGUGUAUGAGUGGUCUAUGCCUCCGGAGUUGUAUUUAUCAGAUAAUGACUCCAGGCUACCUUCUCGUGUUUGUGUGAUGUCUAUACUGAUUGUGACAAUGAGGAUUCUUUAUGACCUAAAUGGCGGAAAAUGGGAAUUGAUUGCAUCUUGUUCCAAUAAUUUAGUGUCUGCUGUUGAGUGUUGAGAAUGGAGCUGGAGAAUGCGGUUUCAGUUGCAAUGCAAGAGGUGCUGUUGCCGAGGAUGACUCUGCUUCACGUGAUUCGGAUCCUCAUGACAGUAUGAGUAAAUCUAAUUCUGAUGCUUUGAAACUCUUGAAAAUUAUUGAAGAAAAGUUUCUUUUCUUGUUUGACAGAAUUUUCAAAAGAUUUACAUUCAUAUCUUCCAUACUGCAAAGAUGUGGACUAGGACCUGCUUACGACGAUCAUGAAGAAAAAAAACUAAUAGAAGUUUUUUGGGACUCCUAUCAAAGCCGUAAGGCUGGCAAAGCAUCAGAAGAUAGGAAAACAAACUCCCACACUUGUAACAAUUUUCACCAUAGCGGAUUCAGACAUGGAUGCAGCAGCACACCAAAAGAAAGCGAGAACUUUAGGGAUGAUGCAUGCAAAUGCAAAUGCAAAUGCAAAAUGUCAAGGGACGAUGGUGAUUCAAACGCGACAUUAAGACAGCUGAAAGCAGAUAUGAAAGAGAAUCGAUGUGAAGAAGAAAGAUGGGUACAUCAGGUAUGCUAGAAAAGAAAACGGGGCUUAUCUUUAUGCAGUACAUGCUGAUUAUUACAUAUUACUUCGAUCUUGUGCUAAGGUUGCACAAGUUGAUGUUAGGACUAUGCAUGUUGGAGUAUUGGCAUUUGAGAAAAGAUUGGAAAUGCUAGAAAGAAGAAUACAUUUUUGUUUAUGUAAGAGACUUCCUGAUGAUUUCUGGGAAUUUUGUUGCGAUUGGUAAAGAAACUCUUCAUAUUUAGCCAACUGCCUUUGCGGAAGAUUUGGUUUUGUAGUCCAUUACAUUCCGAUAGGAGAUGUAUAUAGAAACAUCUUAUUUUAUUCCAAUUGUAAAUGAGCAUAUGAGAUCAUUUCCACGAGA